Molecule: ribosomal RNA, 1178 nt
Filed under: Encheliophis vermiops
Lineage: Eukaryota; Metazoa; Chordata; Actinopteri; Ophidiiformes; Carapidae
Description: partial 16S ribosomal RNA
Rfam family: Bacterial large subunit ribosomal RNA
Source: RNAcentral
UCCAGAACAGCCUAUAAAGAAGGGCACACCCGUCUCUGUCGCAAAAGAGUGGGAGGAUUCUUGAGUAGGGGCGAUAAACCUAUCGAACCUGGUUAUAGCUGGUUGUCUGGGAUAUGAAUAGAAGUUCAGCCCUCCGGGCCCACAGUCCAACAAGCGUGUAAGGACCCCAACAGACCCAGAGGAGUUAAUUGAAGGGGGUACAGCUCCUUUAAUAGCAAGAUACAACUUUAGAAGGUGAGUAAGGAUCAUAGCUGACAUAAGGCUCCGUGCUUUAGUAGGCCUGAAAGCAGCCAUCUAUGAGGAUAGCGUUAAAGCUCAAGCACAUUUAUACCACCUAUGCCGACAACUCCGUCCGAACCCCCUAACUUUACCAGACCAUUAUGUACAAGUACAUAAGUGAUUCUGCUAAAAUGAGUAAUAAGGAGUCUCCACAGAGGCCUCCUCCUAGCACACGUGUACAGCGGAGCGAACCCCCACCGCCACCUAACGAUGCCACUACAAGAGGCGACUUGGUCGAGAGUUAAACAAUUAAAAAAUCACCCAGUAUACCCACGUUAACCCCACACCGGAGUGCACCAAGGAAAGACUUAAUGAGGGAAAAGGAACUCGGCAAACUAAGGUCUCGCCUGUUUACCAAAAACAUCGCCUCCCGCAUAUAAAAAAUGGGAGGUCCCGCCUGCCCCGUGACUAUAUGUUUAACGGCCGCGGUAUUUUAACCGUGCAAAGGUAGCGCAAUCACUUGUCUCUUAAUUGGGGACCUGUAUGAACGGCAUAACGAGGACCUACCUGUCUCUUCCCCCAGGUCAAUGAAAUUGAUCUUCCCGUGCAAAAGCGGGCAUAAACACACGGGACGAGAAGACCCUGUGGAGCUUGAAACACCUGAGGACCCGGGCCAAACACCCCACUCAAGGGGACUAACACACCGGCCUCUCCUUAAAUGUUUUCGGUUGGGGCGACCAAGGGAUACAAUAGAACUCCCACGUGGAACGGAGCACACUCCACAACCAAAACCGACUUGUUUAAGUGCCAGAAUAUCUGACCAAGGGAUCCGGCAAAGCCGAUCAACGAACCAAGUUACCCCAGGGAUAACAGCGCAAUCCUCUUCUAGAGCCCUUAUCGACGAGAGGGUUUACGACCUCGAUGUUGGAUCGGGACCCCCUAAUGGUGCAGCCGCUAUU